CAGGAAGAAGCUUGCUUCUCUGCUGACGAGUGGCGGACGGGUGAGUAAUGUCUGGGAAACUGCCUGAUGGAGGGGGAUAACUACUGGAAACGGUAGCUAAUACCGCAUAACGUCGCAAGACCAAAAAGGGGGACCUUCGGGGCCUCUUGCCAUCGGAUGUGCCCAGAUGGGAUUAGCUAGUAGGUGGGGUAACGGCUCACCUAGGCGACGAUCCCUAGCUGGUCUGAGAGGAUGACCAGCCACACUGGAACUGAGACACGGUCCAGACUCCUACGGGAGGCAGCAGUGGGGAAUAUUGCACAAUGGGGCGCAAGCCUGAUGCAGCCAUGCCGCGUGUAUGAAGAAGGCCUUCGGGUUGUAAAGUACUUUCAGCGGGGAGGAAGGGAGUAAAGUUAAUACCUUUGCUCAUUGACGUUACCCGCAGAAGAAGCACCGGCUAACUCCGUGCCAGCAGCCGCGGUAAUACGGAGGGUGCAAGCGUUAAUCGGAAUUACUGGGCGUAAAGCGCACGCAGGCGGUUUGUUAAGUCAGAUGUGAAAUCCCCGGGCUCAACCUGGGAACUGCAUCUGAUACUGGCAAGCUUGAGUCUCGUAGAGGGGGGUAGAAUUCCAGGUGUAGCGGUGAAAUGCGU
RNAcentral lists this ribosomal RNA (631 nucleotides) under uncultured Pseudomonadota bacterium. RNAcentral describes it as "bacterial SSU rRNA". It matches the Rfam family "Bacterial small subunit ribosomal RNA", at positions 69 to 691 of the family's 1533-position model. The record is from RNAcentral. Lineage: Bacteria; Pseudomonadati; Pseudomonadota.